GGGUUGUGAGGUUAAGCGACUAAGCGUACACGGUGGAUGCCCUGGCAGUCAGAGGCGAUGAAGGACGUGCUAAUCUGCGAUAAGCGUCGGUGAGGUGAUAUGAACCGUUAUAACCGGCGAUUUCCGAAUGGGGAAACCCAGUGUGUUUCGACACACUAUCAUUAACUGAAUCCAUAGGUUAAUGAGGCGAACCGGGGGAACUGAAACAUCUAAGUACCCCGAGGAAAAGAAAUCAACCGAGAUUCCCCCAGUAGCGGCGAGCGAACGGGGAGGAGCCCAGAGCCUGAAUCAGUGUGUGUAUUAGUGGAAGCGUCUGGAAAGGCGCGCGAUACAGGGUGACAGCCCCGUACACAAAAAUGCACAUGCUGUGAGCUCGAUGAGUAGGGCGGGACACGUGGUAUCCUGUCUGAAUAUGGGGGGACCAUCCUCCAAGGCUAAAUACUCCUGACUGACCGAUAGUGAACCAGUACCGUGAGGGAAAGGCGAAAAGAACCCCGGCGAGGGGAGUGAAAAAGAACCUGAAACCGUGUACGUACAAGCAGUGGGAGCCUCUUAAUGGGGUGACUGCGUACCUUUUGUAUAAUGGGUCAGCGACUUAUAUUCUGUAGCAAGGUUAACCGAAUAGGGGAGCCGAAGGGAAACCGAGUCUUAACUGGGCGUUAAGUUGCAGGGUAUAGACCCGAAACCCGGUGAUCUAGCCAUGGGCAGGUUGAAGGUUGGGUAACACUAACUGGAGGACCGAACCGACUAAUGUUGAAAAAUUAGCGGAUGACUUGUGGCUGGGGGUGAAAGGCCAAUCAAACCGGGAGAUAGCUGGUUCUCCCCGAAAGCUAUUUAGGUAGCGCCUCGUGAAUUCAUCUCCGGGGGUAGAGCACUGUUUCGGCAAGGGGGUCAUCCCGACUUACCAACCCGAUGCAAACUGCGAAUACCGGAGAAUGUUAUCACGGGAGACACACGGCGGGUGCUAACGUCCGUCGUGAAGAGGGAAACAACCCAGACCGCCAGCUAAGGUCCCAAAGUCAUGGUUAAGUGGGAAACGAUGUGGGAAGGCCCAGACAGCCAGGAUGUUGGCUUAGAAGCAGCCAUCAUUUAAAGAAAGCGUAAUAGCUCACUGGUCGAGUCGGCCUGCGCGGAAGAUGUAACGGGGCUAAACCAUGCACCGAAGCUGCGGCAGCGACACUAUGUGUUGUUGGGUAGGGGAGCGUUCUGUAAGCCUGUGAAGGUGGCCUGUGAGGGUUGCUGGAGGUAUCAGAAGUGCGAAUGCUGACAUAAGUAACGAUAAAGCGGGUGAAAAGCCCGCUCGCCGGAAGACCAAGGGUUCCUGUCCAACGUUAAUCGGGGCAGGGUGAGUCGACCCCUAAGGCGAGGCCGAAAGGCGUAGUCGAUGGGAAACAGGUUAAUAUUCCUGUACUUGGUGUUACUGCGAAGGGGGGACGGAGAAGGCUAUGUUGGCCGGGCGACGGUUGUCCCGGUUUAAGCGUGUAGGCUGGUUUUCCAGGCAAAUCCGGAAAACCAAGGCUGAGGCGUGAUGACGAGGCACUACGGUGCUGAAGUGACAAAUGCCCUGCUUCCAGGAAAAGCCUCUAAGCAUCAGGUAACAUCAAAUCGUACCCCAAACCGACACAGGUGGUCAGGUAGAGAAUACCAAGGCGCUUGAGAGAACUCGGGUGAAGGAACUAGGCAAAAUGGUGCCGUAACUUCGGGAGAAGGCACGCUGAUAUGUAGGUGAAGCGACUUGCUCGUGGAGCUGAAAUCAGUCGAAGAUACCAGCUGGCUGCAACUGUUUAUUAAAAACACAGCACUGUGCAAACACGAAAGUGGACGUAUACGGUGUGACGCCUGCCCGGUGCCGGAAGGUUAAUUGAUGGGGUUAGCGGUAACGCGAAGCUCUUGAUCGAAGCCCCGGUAAACGGCGGCCGUAACUAUAACGGUCCUAAGGUAGCGAAAUUCCUUGUCGGGUAAGUUCCGACCUGCACGAAUGGCGUAAUGAUGGCCAGGCUGUCUCCACCCGAGACUCAGUGAAAUUGAACUCGCUGUGAAGAUGCAGUGUACCCGCGGCAAGACGGAAAGACCCCGUGAACCUUUACUAUAGCUUGACACUGAACAUUGAGCCUUGAUGUGUAGGAUAGGUGGGAGGCUUUGAAGUGUGGACGCCAGUCUGCAUGGAGCCGACCUUGAAAUACCACCCUUUAAUGUUUGAUGUUCUAACGUUGGCCCGUAAUCCGGGUUGCGGACAGUGUCUGGUGGGUAGUUUGACUGGGGCGGUCUCCUCCUAAAGAGUAACGGAGGAGCACGAAGGUUGGCUAAUCCUGGUCGGACAUCAGGAGGUUAGUGCAAUGGCAUAAGCCAGCUUGACUGCGAGCGUGACGGCGCGAGCAGGUGCGAAAGCAGGUCAUAGUGAUCCGGUGGUUCUGAAUGGAAGGGCCAUCGCUCAACGGAUAAAAGGUACUCCGGGGAUAACAGGCUGAUACCGCCCAAGAGUUCAUAUCGACGGCGGUGUUUGGCACCUCGAUGUCGGCUCAUCACAUCCUGGGGCUGAAGUAGGUCCCAAGGGUAUGGCUGUUCGCCAUUUAAAGUGGUACGCGAGCUGGGUUUAGAACGUCGUGAGACAGUUCGGUCCCUAUCUGCCGUGGGCGCUGGAGAACUGAGGGGGGCUGCUCCUAGUACGAGAGGACCGGAGUGGACGCAUCACUGGUGUUCGGGUUGUCAUGCCAAUGGCACUGCCCGGUAGCUAAAUGCGGAAGAGAUAAGUGCUGAAAGCAUCUAAGCACGAAACUUGCCCCGAGAUGAGUUCUCCCUGAGACUUAGAGUCUCCUGAAGGAACGUUGAAGACGACGACGUUGAUAGGCCGGGUGUGUAAGCGCAGCGAUGCGUUGAGCUAACCGGUACUAAUGAACCGUGAGGCUUAACCUUACAACGCCGAAG
RNAcentral lists this ribosomal RNA (2925 nucleotides) under Escherichia coli. RNAcentral's name for it is "23S ribosomal RNA". It matches the Rfam family "Bacterial large subunit ribosomal RNA". The record is from RNAcentral. Lineage: Bacteria; Pseudomonadati; Pseudomonadota; Gammaproteobacteria; Enterobacterales; Enterobacteriaceae.